UACGUAGGGCGCAAGCGUUAUCCGGAAUUAUUGGGCGUAAAGAGCUCGUAGGCGGUUUGUCGCGUCUGCCGUGAAAGUCCGGGGCUCAACUCCGGAUCUGCGGUGGGUACGGGCAGACUAGAGUGAUGUAGGGGAGACUGGAAUUCCUGGUGUAGCGGUGAAAUGCGCAGAUAUCAGGAGGAACACCGAUGGCGAAGGCAGGUCUCUGGGCAUUAACUACGCUGAGGAGCGAAAGCAUGGGGAGCGAACAGG
RNAcentral lists this ribosomal RNA (252 nucleotides) under uncultured bacterium. Its description in RNAcentral is "partial 16S ribosomal RNA". It matches the Rfam family "Bacterial small subunit ribosomal RNA", at positions 524 to 776 of the family's 1533-position model. The record is from RNAcentral.